This 800-nucleotide ribosomal RNA is filed under the name Metabacillus idriensis. Its description in RNAcentral is "bacterial SSU rRNA". It matches the Rfam family "Bacterial small subunit ribosomal RNA", at positions 35 to 816 of the family's 1533-position model. Lineage: Bacteria; Bacillati; Bacillota; Bacilli; Caryophanales; Bacillaceae. The record is from RNAcentral.
GCCCGGGGCCGCCAUGCCUAUACAUGCAGUCGAGCGGACUUGCUGGAGCUUGCUCCAGCAGGUUAGCGGCGGACGGGUGAGUAACACGUGGGCAACCUGCCUGUAAGACUGGGAUAACUCCGGGAAACCGGAGCUAAUACCGGAUAGUAUCUUGAACCGCAUGGUUCAAGUUGGAAAGACGGUUUCGGCUGUCACUUACAGAUGGGCCCGCGGCGCAUUAGCUAGUUGGUGAGGUAAUGGCUCACCAAGGCAACGAUGCGUAGCCGACCUGAGAGGGUGAUCGGCCACACUGGGACUGAGACACGGCCCAGACUCCUACGGGAGGCAGCAGUAGGGAAUCUUCCGCAAUGGACGAAAGUCUGACGGAGCAACGCCGCGUGAGUGAUGAAGGUUUUCGGAUCGUAAAACUCUGUUGUUAGGGAAGAACAAGUGCGAGAGUAACUGCUCGCACCUUGACGGUACCUAACCAGAAAGCCACGGCUAACUACGUGCCAGCAGCCGCGGUAAUACGUAGGUGGCAAGCGUUGUCCGGAAUUAUUGGGCGUAAAGCGCGCGCAGGCGGUUUCUUAAGUCUGAUGUGAAAGCCCCCGGCUCAACCGGGGAGGGUCAUUGGAAACUGGGAAACUUGAGUGCAGAAGAGGAGAGUGGAAUUCCACGUGUAGCGGUGAAAUGCGUAGAGAUGUGGAGGAACACCAGUGGCGAAGGCGACUCUCUGGUCUGUAACUGACGCUGAGGCGCGAAAGCGUGGGGAGCGAACAGGAUUAGAUACCCUGGUAGUCCACGCCGUAAACGAUGAGUGC